GGGAAUGGUCGGGAUA
RNAcentral lists this transfer RNA (16 nucleotides) under Rumex dentatus. Its description in RNAcentral is "partial tRNA-Phe". The record is from RNAcentral. Lineage: Eukaryota; Viridiplantae; Streptophyta; Magnoliopsida; Caryophyllales; Polygonaceae.